Molecule: long non-coding RNA, 375 nt
Organism: Erigeron canadensis
Lineage: Eukaryota; Viridiplantae; Streptophyta; Magnoliopsida; Asterales; Asteraceae
Exons: 3
Source: RefSeq, a predicted model, not a curated record
UCACACACACAUAAAAAAAAAUGCUCUCAACUUUCUUCCCCCUCUCCUCUCUUUUUCGGCAGAAAUAUGGGGUAAAAACACCCCCAAAUCUUAAGAAUAAAUCAUAAAACAACAUUAACAAUAUAUCCAAGGUGUGGAGCAAGCAUGGAGGUGAUUUGGAGGCCAUCUAGCACACGAAAUCAGCCCCCAAAGUGGCUGGUCGGACAGCAGCAAAAAAGGGGGCAAAACAACUUCAAUCUACUUCUUUUCUUUUGAUUCUUGAUCAUCAAAGGCCAACAAACAACUCUUGGCAGCCAUCAAGAACAAGACCCAACAACACUCUUAAUCUUCUUGUUUUGGUCUUCAAAGGAAAUAAGCUUAAGCUUUGAGGAUUUA